RNAcentral lists this ribosomal RNA (253 nucleotides) under uncultured bacterium. Its description in RNAcentral is "partial 16S ribosomal RNA". It matches the Rfam family "Bacterial small subunit ribosomal RNA", at positions 524 to 776 of the family's 1533-position model. The record is from RNAcentral.
UACGUAGGUGGCAAGCGUUGUCCGGAUUUACUGGGCGUAAAGGAUGCGUAGGCGGACAUUUAAGUCAGAUGUGAAAUACCCGAGCUUAACUUGGGUGCUGCAUUUGAAACUGGGUGUCUAGAGUGCAGGAGAGGUAAGUGGAAUUCCUAGUGUAGCGGUGAAAUGCGUAGAGAUUAGGAAGAACACCGGUGGCGAAGGCGACUUACUGGACUGUAACUGACGCUGAGGCAUGAAAGCGUGGGGAGCAAACAGG